This 856-nucleotide long non-coding RNA is filed under the name Phasianus colchicus (ring-necked pheasant). RNAcentral describes it as "lncRNA (ENSPCLG00000002897.1)". The record is from RNAcentral. Lineage: Eukaryota; Metazoa; Chordata; Aves; Galliformes; Phasianidae.
CCAAGUGCUUGGCAGAUGCUGAUUUUUAACACGGAACAGAGCGGAUAUUGUGACUUUGAAGACUUUGGGUCUCCAGGCCUCUGUGACCUCAGUUCAUUUCACUCCUAGGUGACCACACUUCAUCCAUGUGGCAGGGCCUGGUGUUGCCCCUAGGAAGGAUCUAUGGCAAAACAGCAGUGAGCCUCAAACAGCAGGCAGUUCUCCCUAUGCUUCUGGGAUAACUCAGGGAGGGAGGCACUCUCCUCGUGAAGGGACCAUCGAAGCAUCCUGGUUGAGAACCUGUAGUGAACUGCUGCCUGAAGACUCCCCACUUCCACCUAAUGAGAGCCUCACAGAAAACCACACUAACACUGAAAGCAAUAAGGCCUAGUAAGGAGAUCAGCAGUUGGAUCUGCAUAGCAGUUCUCCUAUGGAGUCCAGAUAUCACCCACAUUCUGAGCCAGACCUGCUUCUAGAGAACCAAGUGCAAAGUCUGGGAAUCAGCAUUAAUUAUGGAUUAUUGAGAAGAAGGUUCUUAAUUAGGCCUUUCUGGGCUACCAGGCUUAGCUCUGCUAAAUUCUCUCUGCUGGAGCUCUCACUCCCUUGCCACCAAUGAACCAGAAAGCAAGGCAUGACAGACCUUGAAGCUUCCCUGCUCUCAGGCAUGAAGAGCUGAAAAUCCAUCCUCCAAGGAAUCUCUCACUCUUGUCUCUGCAGCAGGAGAUCUCCGGGCUCCCAGAAUUCAUGCCAUGACCCUAUAGAAAAGCUCUAACCUACAUCAUAGGACAGCCCAGAGUUAAAACCAUUGGCUGUUCUUUUGUCCCCACCAGGUACAGUAUCAGAAAUCCUUUUGACUGAAAAACAAAAUAGAGUUUCC